Molecule: long non-coding RNA, 1819 nt
Organism: Erpetoichthys calabaricus (reedfish)
Lineage: Eukaryota; Metazoa; Chordata; Cladistia; Polypteriformes; Polypteridae
Exons: 2
Source: RefSeq, a predicted model, not a curated record
UAACUAUCCACUAUGAAAUAUUUAAAGUUAAAAUAACAGAAUACAAUAACACAGUCCGUCUUGAGAGGCGCUGCUAUUUCUCCAAGAUUAUAAAUAACAAUGCUAGUAAUCCCAGAGUCUUAUUCUCGACGAUUGAUCGUCUGCUAAACCCAGGUAACUCAAAGGAAUACAUCCUAAGUACUUCCAGUAAAACCUGUGAGGCUAUUGCUGUAUUUUUCAAUCAAAAAAUUAAUGAUAUUAGAAAUAACAUAGUAUAUCUCCUCAACACUAAGGAUCCUCCUAAACCCCAGUAUUCCGUUAUAAACAAAUUAAACUCUUUCACUAGGAUAGAUUUACCUGAUUUACAUAAAAUAAUUUCUCAACUGAAACCCUCCACCUGCAUCCUUGACCCAAUAUCAACAAAGUUUUUCAAAGAAGUAUCAGACGUACUAAUUGAUAAUAUUUUUGACAUAGUAAAUUCGUCAUUAGAUACGGGGGUCUUCCCAGACUGUCUUAAGACUGCGGUAGUUAAACCCCUACUUAAGAAAAAUAAUCUUGACCCCUCUGCUCUUGAAAAUUUUAGACCCAUCUCUAACCUGCCUUUCUUAAGUAAAAUUCUAGAGAAGGCAGUCAUUAUGCAGUUAAAUGACCACCUCAAUAAACAUGCUAUUCUUGAUAAAUUUCAGUCUGGUUUUAGAACAAAUCACAGCACAGAAACUGCACUCGUUAAAGUAGUAAAUGACUUGCGGGUAAAUGCAGACAGAGGCCAUUUAUCUGUUCUCAUCCUCUUAGAUCUGAGUGCCGCAUUUGACACCAUUGAUCAUAAUAUUCUUAGUAAUCACCUUAGUCAAUGGGUGAGCAUCUCUGGCAGUGUCUUAAAUUGGUUUGAAUCCUACCUGGCAGGGAGAAAAUUCUUUGUUAGUUGUGGUAAUUACAACUCAAAGACACAUGAUAUCCUAUAUGGUGUUCAACAAGGCUCUAUCCUGGGUCCGCUGCUCUUCUCAAUCUACAUGCUUCCGUUAGGUCAGAUUAUCUCAGGGCACAACGUGAGCUACCACAGCUAUGCUGAUGACACACAGCUGUAUUUAUCAAUAGCACCUGAUGUCCCUGAUUCUCUUGAUUCACUAAUACAAUGUCUUACUUGUAUUUCUGAAUGAAUGAAUAGUAAUUUUCUCAAGCUAAAUAAAGAGAAAACUGAAAUUUUAGUGAUUGGCAAUAAUGGAUACAAUGAGGUUAUCAGAAAUAAACUCGAUGCAUUAGGAUUAAAAGUCAAGACAGAGGUAAAAAACUUAGGGGUAAUUGUUGACUGUAACCUGAAUUUUAAAUCGCAUAUUCAUCAGACCACUAGGACAGCAUUUUUUCACUUAAGAAACAUAGCAAAAGUUAGACCUCUUAUAUCACUGAAAGAUGCUGAUAAAUUAGUUCAUGCUUUUGUUUUCAGUCGACUAGAUUACUGUAACGAACUCCUCUCAGGACUACCCAAAAAAGACAUAAAUCAUUUGCAACUAGUGCAGAAUGCACCUGCUAGAAUCCUAACUAGGAAAAGAAAAUCCGAGCAUAUUUCUCGAGUUUUGAUGUCAUUACACUGGUUACCUAUGUCAUUCAGAAUUGACUUUAAAAUACUGCUUAUGGUUUAUAAAGCCUUAAAUAAUCUUGCUCCAUCUUAUAUAUCGGAAUGUCUUACACCCUAUAUUCCAAAUUGUAACCUUAGAUCCUCAAAUGAGUGUCUCCUUAGAAUUCCAAGAGCAAAACUUAAAAGAAGUGGUGAGGCGGCCUUCUGCUGUUAUGCACCUAAAAUCUGGAAUAGCCUGCCAAUAGGAAUUCACCAGGCUAAUACAGU